CCGCCUGUUCUCGGGGUCUGUGAGCUCCUCGGCGUACUCGGAGAACAUCCGCCGAAAUUCUGGGUCCUGGAAGGCAGA
This 78-nucleotide microRNA precursor is filed under the name Dasypus novemcinctus (nine-banded armadillo). RNAcentral's name for it is "miRNA (ENSDNOG00000047410.1)". The record is from RNAcentral. Lineage: Eukaryota; Metazoa; Chordata; Mammalia; Cingulata; Dasypodidae.